CGUGCAGCCUGCUGCCGGUUCUGCUGCCGCUGCUCUCUCCACAGGUGUUCGUGGUUGACUGGUGGGCGGAGCGCACACACCUGCAGACAGUUCAGCAGCACCGGGCCGCACUAUAAGAACUGUGCUCAAACAGAGGGAGGAUGCCAGAGUGUUACCGUUGUGGUUACCUCUUGUGCUCCGAUGUCUCCUCUCAUGCUCCUGUGUUUCCCUUCGAGGUGAAAGCCUCAAGUGUCCCUCUGGUUCUUUCCGAGUUGGUGCCCCUCAACCUGGAUCCAAGGCUUCCUCUGACGUUCACCUGGUUCCUCCCGCUGCUCUGGAUCCCCGGAUUCCCCGGUGCUGCUUGGAUCCCCCUCUGCCUCCGCUCACUGGUCUCCCGGACACCUGUCAACUCCACCCGCAGGCAAGGGCUGAGUCCACACCGCUUCCUCACCGGUUCGGUUUCCGCGCUUGGUGACUGAUCCGGUCUACUGGCUUUGGUUCCCCGUUGUGCCCCGAUCUGCAGAGGCAGAUCUUCCUCGUGGCUCCCAAUCUAAAUAAACCUUUUGUGAUCUGAACUGUUUUCCCCGAGUGUUUUCUGCAUGUGGGCCAAACACAUUAGGGCGAACAUGACACCUUUAUAUGGAAAAAAACAGUCCCCCAGAUAAGAAGAGAGUUUCUAGAGAGACAGAGAGAGGAGGGGGGCCUAGCUCUACCAAAUUAUAUGCAUUAUUACUGGGCAGCUAAUCUACAUAAGUUGCUAUUUUGGGUCUCGCAGUUAGAAGAUGAGAAAACCCCAAUAUGGGUACAUAUAGAAAGAUAUGCACCCAGCCCAAUAUCCCUGUGUUCCCUGAUUUGUGCCCCUAAGCAAGCACCUAUACACAAAUAACCCUGUUGUGCGAAACUCUGUCAAAAUCUGGGUCCAAUUCAUACCUCAUUUUAAAAACAGAAAUGCCUCCUGUCUGCUCCCGUUUAUGGCAAUCACCUGUUCUCUCCAGCUCUGGGGGGAACAGCGUUUAAGGAAUGGCAUAGAGCUGGGGUGGAAUCUGUUAAAAAUCUGGUUAAAGAUGGUGUACUUAUGUCUGCUGCUCAGCUGGAAAAGGAAUAUGGAAUCCCCUUAAAAACAAAUUACUUCAGAUACUUUCAGAUUCGAGAUUUUGUGAAAAAGACAUUCUCAUCUCUUGAAUCACCCAGAGUGGGUGGAUAGAUGGGCUAUUGGAUAU
This is a long non-coding RNA of Fundulus heteroclitus (mummichog), 1199 nucleotides long. RefSeq lists it as uncharacterized. The record is from RefSeq and is a predicted model, not a curated record. Lineage: Eukaryota; Metazoa; Chordata; Actinopteri; Cyprinodontiformes; Fundulidae. The transcript has 3 exons.